CUUAUGGUGAUUAAUACUCAGUCUAAAUUCUACGCUAAUGCAAAAUGAAUGGAAAGGGAAAUAGGUUUAGGAAUUGUGAGACCUUUGGAGUUCUUUCUCAGAUGAGCAUGAAUGGCGGCGGCGAUAUCUUCAAAUCCCCGGUGAAACAAUGCUCCGAUUGCCUCUCCAAUUCCUUCUUCUCGCUCCUCGAUCUCUCUCAAUUUAAGAUGAAGUCGCAGCGGCCACAUCUUCUUAUCCAACGGCGUUUUGCGAUUCCGAGCGUGGUUCCUUGUAUGACUCUCGCGUUGUCGUCGUUUUCGGUGAAAUUGUUGGAGUUUGACGAGGUUGCGAAGAUGAUGAUUUAUGCAUUGAAGAUGAAGAUGAUGCGUACUAGCUGAGAGGUGUUACGAAGAUGAUGAAGAUCUCAGGUUGACGUGAACGAGAUCGAUAUUGAUUCUCUUGAAAUCGAGAGGAUUGGAGGUUGGCGAAUCUGAUGAUGAAGCUUCAAGAACUCGGUCAGAGGUUCUUUCUUCUUCUUUGAAAUUUUCUCUCGAUUCUUCUGAAAUUUGAGCGUCGAGAUGAUGUUGUGGAUUGUUGCAGGUUGAUGGGGAACUUUGCGAGGUAUUGCGAAGAUGAUGAUUGUAGUGAUUGAAGAAGGUGGAUAGUUUGCAUAGUGGUGGUUAUCGAUGGAUGAAUGAAGAAGGUUGAAGAUUCAAGAUCGAGAAAGAGUUUUUCUGUGAGUUUGUUACAUAUUCUGGUACGUUGCUAUGCUGAGUUUUUAGUUUUUCUGUGUGAUUUUAGUGAUGAUUUGAAGAAGGUGAAUUCAGAGAGAGAGGUAAAGUUUGUGGAGAGCUUUGGACCGAUUAUGGUGAUUUUGUUGAGAUUGAAGAUGAUUGAUGAAACUGUGAUGAAGUUUUUUUUUGGGGAAGAAGAUUGAGAGAGGUUCAGAGAGAGUUUGUUACAGUGAGUUCAUGAUUGAAUUAUUCUUUGUUGUAGCCGCGGUUUGAUGUAUGGAAAACAGGGCACUUUUGGCAUGAUAUUAACAUGGAAAUUCUUGGAGACUUCCAGGAGCUUUUUUUUUCUUUUUGUGUGCAGGGCAUACUUGUAAUCUUUGUAAAGUUGACUUUUGUAAAUGUGUUUUGAACAUGCAUUUAGACUGAAUUCUUUUGUAGUGGAUAUGUAUUGGACAUUUGAAGGUUUUGUAAUGAAUUUUGUGAUGGAUGUAAACGGAAUGGAGAUUUGGUUUUUCCUAUGAAUGUAUGAAUUAUGUUGGACUCACGAUAUCGACCUGUUCUUCAACUUUUUGUAUCUCACUAAUUCCAAGU
Vicia villosa (hairy vetch) is the source of this 1304-nucleotide long non-coding RNA. RefSeq lists it as uncharacterized. NCBI's taxonomy places the organism in Eukaryota, Viridiplantae, Streptophyta, Magnoliopsida, Fabales, Fabaceae. The record is from RefSeq and is a predicted model, not a curated record. The transcript has 3 exons.